GACGAACGCUGGCGGCGUGCCUAAUACAUGCAAGUCGAACGAAGCUGUUUUAACUGGUGCUUGCACCGACUUAAACAACUGAGUGGCGAACGGGUGAGUAACACGUGGGUAACCUGCCCCAAAGCGGGGGAUAACAUUUGGAAACAGAUGCUAAUACCGCAUAACCACAGAAACCACAUGGUUUCUGUGUCAAAGAUGGUUUCGGCUAUCACUUUGGGAUGGACCCGCGGCGUAUUAGCUAGUUGGUAAGGUAAUGGCUUACCAAGGCAAUGAUACGUAGCCGAACGGGUAGGUUGAUCGGCCACAUUGGGACUGAGACACGGCCCAAACUCCUGCGGGAGGCAGCAGUAGGGAAUCUUCCACAAUGGACGAAAGUCUGAUGGAGCAACGCCGCGUGAGUGAAGAAGGUUUUCGGAUCGUAAAACUCUGUUGUCAGGGAAGAACGUGUGCGAGAGUAACUGUUCGUGCAGUGACGGUAUCUGGCCAGAAAGCCACGGCUAACUACGUGCCAGCCGCCGCGGUAA
RNAcentral lists this ribosomal RNA (524 nucleotides) under uncultured bacterium. Its description in RNAcentral is "partial 16S ribosomal RNA". It matches the Rfam family "Bacterial small subunit ribosomal RNA", at positions 28 to 523 of the family's 1533-position model. The record is from RNAcentral.